RNAcentral lists this ribosomal RNA (534 nucleotides) under Triticum aestivum (bread wheat). RNAcentral describes it as "partial small subunit ribosomal RNA". The record is from RNAcentral. Lineage: Eukaryota; Viridiplantae; Streptophyta; Magnoliopsida; Poales; Poaceae.
AUGGCUCCCACGCUCCUGCGACGCCCAGCUCCGGUGCCCGCAGCCACCAUCGCCGCCGCCCAACCCCCUCCCUCCCCGGGAUGCACCUCCUUGGUCUCGCCGCGGUUCCCUCCGGGAUUCCCUUCUCGUCGAUUCUCGCGGCCAGAUCUGGUGGCGGCCCUCUUCCCGCAGCUGGAGGGGAGUUCCUCAGAUCUGUGUAUUCGGGAUGGUGCUCCUCUGCCGGCGUGUAGCGCGGCUGCCUCGGAUGAUGGUGCUCUUUUGCUGGCGUGCUGCGCGGUUAUCUUGGACGCGACGAGCCGUCCCCGCAAGGCGCACUUCGCUGCCCUGCGAAUCCUGCCGCAGUCUCAAGGCGGAGCUCUUCAUCAAGCCAUGCUCCUCCUGCUGCGGAAUCUAGAUCGUGCCCCGAGGCUGACUUCGGCCGGUCGGCGGACUAGCAACUUGUUCGGCUGGCAUAUUGGUGGCGGCGCCCCAACCGCCGGCACCCAAGCCAUCGAGCUGUGUCUGCUUUUCCUCCUCCCGUGUGAAGGGAUUUAG